This 445-nucleotide ribosomal RNA is filed under the name uncultured bacterium. RNAcentral's name for it is "partial 16S ribosomal RNA". It matches the Rfam family "Bacterial small subunit ribosomal RNA", at positions 354 to 796 of the family's 1533-position model. The record is from RNAcentral.
GUGAGGAAUAUUGGUCAAUGGACGAGAGUCUGAACCAGCCAAGUCGCGUGAAGGAAGACGGCUCUAUGAAUUGUAAACUUCUUUUGUGCAGGAAUAAAGUGGGUUACGUGUAACCUUUUGUAUGUACUGUACGAAUAAGGAUCGGCUAACUCCGUGCCAGCAGCCGCGGUAAUACGGAGGAUCCGAGCGUUAUCCGGAUUUAUUGGGUUUAAAGGGUGCGUAGGUGGAUUGAUAAGUCAGCGGUGAAAGUUUGCAGCUUAACUGUAAAAUUGCCGUUGAAACUGUCGGUCUUGAGUGCAAAUGAGGUAGGCGGAAUGUGUUGUGUAGCGGUGAAAUGCUUAGAUAUAACACAGAACUCCGAUUGCGAAGGCAGCUUACUGGGAUGCAACUGACACUGAUGCACGAAAGCGUGGGUAUCAAACAGGAUUAGAAACCCCUGUAGUCC